GGGAUUUUUGUCGGAGUUUUUCUAUUUUUGUUGUUUUAGGAUGCAUCCAGUGUCAAAGCAAUGGUAUGAGCAAAACCUCCAUCAUCCAAUGCCAGCUUAAAGAUGCACGAUGUUGGAGUCAUUGCCAUCCAAGCCCGGCAGCCAUCGAACCAUCACUGUGGAGGUGUGCAUCGACCCUUAGCUAAUCCUUUCGAUCUAUACAGUAAACGAGUCGAACACUCCAACAAUUUUGUCGAGCUUGGCGCCUUGGUCAAGCUGAUUCCCAGCAGCAACAAUGUAGUUCAAUUUAUUUGCCAU
RNAcentral lists this long non-coding RNA (297 nucleotides) under Phoenix dactylifera (date palm). RNAcentral describes it as "long non-coding RNA (PDAC_LNC019538)". Lineage: Eukaryota; Viridiplantae; Streptophyta; Magnoliopsida; Arecales; Arecaceae. The record is from RNAcentral.